GACGAACGCUGGCGGCGUGCCUAAUACAUGCAAGUUGAGCGAUGAAGAUUGGUGCUUGCACCAAUUUGAAGAGCAGCGAACGGGUGAGUAACGCGUGGGGAAUCUGCCUUUGAGCGGGGGACAACAUUUGGAAACGAAUGCUAAUACCGCAUAAUAACUUUAAACAUAAGUUUUAAGUUUGAAAGAUGCAAUUGCAUCACUCAAAGAUGAUCCCGCGUUGUAUUAGCUAGUUGGUGAGGUAAAGGCUCACCAAGGCGAUGAUACAUAGCCGACCUGAGAGGGUGAUCGGCCACAUUGGGACUGAGACACGGCCCAAACUCCUACGGGACGCAGCAGUAGGGAAUCUUCGGCAAUGGACGAAAGUCUGACCGAGCAACGCCGCGUGAGUGAAGAAGGUUUUCGGAUCGUAAAACUCUGUUGGUAGAGAAGAACGUUGGUGAGAGUGGAAAGCUCAUCAAGUGACGGUAACUACCCAGAAAGGGACGGCUAACUACGUG
RNAcentral lists this ribosomal RNA (497 nucleotides) under uncultured bacterium. RNAcentral describes it as "partial 16S ribosomal RNA". It matches the Rfam family "Bacterial small subunit ribosomal RNA", at positions 28 to 507 of the family's 1533-position model. The record is from RNAcentral.